Apis dorsata (giant honeybee) is the source of this 774-nucleotide long non-coding RNA. RefSeq lists it as uncharacterized. The transcript is spliced from 2 exons. The record is from RefSeq and is a predicted model, not a curated record. Lineage: Eukaryota; Metazoa; Arthropoda; Insecta; Hymenoptera; Apidae.
UGCGACGUAGGCACAAGAGGGGGCGGGAAACAAUAAUGGAGCGAAGGUUUAAACAAAAUAGCCGUUGCCCGCGGAAAGGAUAAUUGGAACGUUUCGAGCGAGCACCUCGAGGGAACGAUCGGCGAGCAAAUCGAUCGAGAACCAAUUGUUUCGUCCGUUUUCGCGCAUGCACACCUGCCGUUCUUUGAUUCGUUCACUCGAUGGAACGGGUUAAAGCGAUUAGGUCAACCAGGGAAGGGCCCUUUGUUUCCACGCGAACGUUUGGUAAAUUUACAUCGGUUAACUGGUGAUAGAUAAAGCGGAUCGAUUCGUGGUCGAAUUGAAAAAACGUCACGCGGGAUCGGUCGUUAAGAUUAAUGGAGAUUGCGCGAACGUUAUCAAAGCACCGAACCAGCUUUCACUGUCGAACGUGGUAAAUUUAUAACGGAUCACAGGAAAUUCCUUUUAAGCCUCCAACCUCCGAGAUCGUUUAAGAAUCCCGCGCCGGAUUUCGCGCCGGUGGAAUAGUUAAACACCUCGUUUUGCGUUAUCUUUUUGAAAUCCAUCGCCACGUAAAUCGAUAAUCGUUUUAUUUUAUUAAAUUGCUUGCUUUUAUCUCGAAUCGUUGGAGAGUCUACUCUGCCUAUUUGCGACAAGGUAAAAUGAAAUUUAAAGGGAAUGAAAGGGAGUCGAACGAAAGACGAUCGUGAAAAAGAUUGAAAAAAGAAUAUCGAAGAUCUUUGAUUGAAGAAGAAAUCGAGAUAACUUUUGUGUCGUAAUAAAAAAAAAAAAGAA